Molecule: ribosomal RNA, 253 nt
Filed under: uncultured bacterium
Lineage: Bacteria
Description: partial 16S ribosomal RNA
Rfam family: Bacterial small subunit ribosomal RNA
Source: RNAcentral
UACGUAGGGUGCGAGCGUUGUCCGGAAUUAUUGGGCGUAAAGAGCUCGUAGGCGGUUUGUCACGUCUGCUGUGAAAUCCCGAGGCUCAACCUCGGGCCUGCAGUGGGUACGGGCAGACUGGAGUGCGGUAGGGGAGCAUGGAAUUCCUGGUGUAGCGGUGAAAUGCGCAGAUAUCAGGAGGAACACCAGUGGCGAAGGCGGUGCUCUGGGCCGACACUGACACUGAGAGACGAAAGCUAGGGGAGCGAAUGGG